GCCACGGUGGUCUAGCGGUUAGAACGCUGGCCUUGUAAUCCUCGGGUCUCGGGUUCGUAUCCCGGCGGUGCCC
Non-coding RNA from Zootermopsis nevadensis, 73 nucleotides. The record is from Rfam. NCBI's taxonomy places the organism in Eukaryota, Metazoa, Arthropoda, Insecta, Blattodea, Termopsidae.